Molecule: non-coding RNA, 83 nt
Organism: Trametes cingulata
Lineage: Eukaryota; Fungi; Basidiomycota; Agaricomycetes; Polyporales; Polyporaceae
Source: the annotation of a GenBank genome assembly
UCUCUGUUAGUAUAUCGGUUAGUACACGCGCCUGUCAUUGAAAAUGAUCGCGCGAAAGCGGGGUUCGACUCCCCGACAGAGAG